AGUCGAGCGAGCGGAACUAACAGAUUUACUUCGGUAAUGACGUUAGGAAAGCGAGCGGCGGAUGGGUGAGUAACACGUGGGGAAUCUGCCCCAUAGUCUGGGAUACCACUUGGAAACAGGUGCUAAUACCGGAUAAGAAAGCAGAUCGCAUGAUCAGCUUUUAAAAGGCGGCGUAAGCUGUCGCUAUGGGAUGGCCCCGCGGUGCAUUAGCUAGUUGGUAAGGUAAAGGCUUACCAAGGCGAUGAUGCAUAGCCGAGUUGAGAGACUGAUCGGCCACAUUGGGACUGAGACACGGCCCAAACUCCUACGGGAGGCAGCAGUAGGGAAUCUUCCACAAUGGACGCAAGUCUGAUGGAGCAACGCCGCGUGAGUGAAGAAGGUUUUCGGAUCGUAAAGCUCUGUUGUUGGUGAAGAAGGAUAGAGGUAGUAACUGGCCUUUAUUUGACGGUAAUCAACCAGAAAGUCACGGCUAACUACGUGCCAGCAGCCGCGGUAAUACGUAGGUGGCAAGCGUUGUCCGGAUUUAUUGGGCGUAAAGCGAGCGCAGGCGGAAGAAUAAGUCUGAUGUGAAAGCCCUCGGCUUAACCGAGGAACUGCGUCGGAAACUGUUUUUCUUGAGUGCAGAAGAGGAGAGUGGAACUCCAUGUGUAGCGGUGGAAUGCGUGGAUAUAUGGAAGAACACCAGUGGCGAAGGCGGCUCUCUGGUCUGCAACUGACGCUGAGGCUCGAAAGCAUGGGUAGCGAACAGGAUUAGAUACCCUGGUAGUCCAUGCCGUANACGAUGAGUGCUAAGUGUUGGGAGGUUUCCGCCUCUCAGUGCUGCAGCUAACGCAUUAAGCACUCCG
Molecule: ribosomal RNA, 845 nt
Filed under: uncultured bacterium
Lineage: Bacteria
Description: bacterial SSU rRNA
Rfam family: Bacterial small subunit ribosomal RNA
Source: RNAcentral